Molecule: ribosomal RNA, 497 nt
Filed under: uncultured bacterium
Lineage: Bacteria
Description: partial 16S ribosomal RNA
Rfam family: Bacterial small subunit ribosomal RNA
Source: RNAcentral
GAUGAACGCUGGCGGCGUGCCUAAAACAUGCAAGUCGAGCGAACAGAUGAGGAUCUUGCUCCUCUGACGUUAGCGGCGGACGUGUGUGUAACACGUGGAUAACCUACCUAUAAGACUGGGAUAACUUCGGGAAACCGGAGCUAAUACCGGAUAAUAUAUUGAACCGCAGGGUUCAAUAGUGAAAGACGGUGUUGCUGUCACUUAUAGAUGGAUCCGCGCCGCAUUGUCUAGUUUGUAAGGUAACGGCUUAUCAAGGCAACGAUGCGUAGCCGACCUGAGAGAGUGGUCGGCCACCCUGGAAAUGAGACACGGUCCAGAGUACUACGGGAGGCAGCAGUAGGGAAUCUUCCGCAAUGGGCGAAAGCAUGACGGAGCAACGCCGCGUGAGUGAUGAAGGUCUUCGGAUCGUAAAACUCUGUUAUUAGGGAAGAACCAAUGUGUAAGUAACUGUGCACGUAUUGACGGUACCUAAUCAGAAAGCCACGGCUAACUACGUG